CUCUGCUUGACCAAGAAACCUGAUUAAUACAGACUGAGAGCUGCAGACUGUGUUUAUUUGUUUCAUUAACAAGAACAACUUAGGAAUGGCAACUUCCAUUGAUGAGCUUCCUACUUUGUUCUCCUGAUGGAAAACAGACAGUUGUUUCCCUGUUGAAGACUAGCCACCCUGCAGAGGUGAACAGUUCACUCUCAAGGCCAUAAUGACUUGAACACUGGCUGUCUAGAAACAGAGAGGCGGGCAGCGGCAGACAGGAACAGAGGUGGAGCAUCUUCCUCCAUCAGGAGCUGCACCUCGGAAGUGUCCUUAGAUGUGGCUUGGAAUUGGGAUCCUUCCAUUCCCCUCAGGAAAAACAUUAACAUCUGCCGUUUUUCUAAAUUGAAUGUGGAAGAUGAUCCUGACAGGCUGAACAAAGAUGCUUGCUCUCUGGUGUGAUGUUUGACAAGGGAAUCUUCUUUCAUUUUCUCCUCUGAUGAAACUCUCUACCAGAUAAGCCGCAGCAG
Molecule: long non-coding RNA, 503 nt
Filed under: Macaca mulatta (Rhesus monkey)
Lineage: Eukaryota; Metazoa; Chordata; Mammalia; Primates; Cercopithecidae
Description: lncRNA (ENSMMUG00000045829.2)
Source: RNAcentral